RNAcentral lists this ribosomal RNA (222 nucleotides) under Kerodon rupestris (Rock cavy). Its description in RNAcentral is "partial small subunit ribosomal RNA". It matches the Rfam family "Bacterial small subunit ribosomal RNA", at positions 761 to 1021 of the family's 1533-position model. The record is from RNAcentral. Lineage: Eukaryota; Metazoa; Chordata; Mammalia; Rodentia; Caviidae.
UAAGUCCCAAACUGGGAUUAGAUACCCCACUAUGCUUAGCCAUAAACACAAAAAUUUGCACAACAAAAAUUUUCGCCUGAGAACUACUAGCCACAGCUUAAAACUCAAAGGACUUGGCGGUGCUUUAUACCCACCUAGAGGAGCCUGUUCUAUAAUCGAUAAACCCCGAUACACCUCACCACUUCUUGCUAAUACAGCCUAUAUACCGCCAUCUUCAGCAAA